UCAACCAUCAAGCCUGGCUUGUUAUUGGGUUCUUUAUCUGUAAAAUGAUAGACCCGAAAGAUAAUGGCGGUGUCAAAAUUUGACCCCAGGUGCAGCGAGCUUUAAGCAUACACUGUGGUGGUCUUUUUGGCCUGGCCUAGUUAAUUUUCUUAACUCUAA
Molecule: unclassified non-coding RNA, 159 nt
Filed under: uncultured Phaeomoniellales
Lineage: Eukaryota; Fungi; Ascomycota; Eurotiomycetes; Phaeomoniellales
Description: sequence contains ITS2
Source: RNAcentral